Long non-coding RNA from Drosophila busckii, 254 nucleotides. RefSeq lists it as uncharacterized. NCBI's taxonomy places the organism in Eukaryota, Metazoa, Arthropoda, Insecta, Diptera, Drosophilidae. The transcript has 2 exons. The record is from RefSeq and is a predicted model, not a curated record.
UUGUAAGUAGUAAGCAAUGCAAAAAUGUAACUUAUAGAAUAGUUGAAUUUAUACAAAAUGUAUUCAACGCUUCAGAAUUUGUUGAACCAAAUACGUUGUUGUGGUGGUUGGACUGAGCGCCAGUAAGUGGAUCUGGCAGUUGGUUUUACUUUAAACAGAAAGCUUUAGAUUGUAAAAGUGUGAGAUGAUUUUAAAUUCAAUCGGUUGUCAUUAACAUGCACGAAGACAUUAAUUAAACAGUGCUUUGAAACAAA